UACGUAGGGAGCAAGCGUUAUCCGGAUUUACUGGGUGUAAAGGGAGCGUAGACGGCCAUUCAAGCCAGAUGUGAAAGCCCGGGGCUCAACCCCGGGACUGCAUUUGGAACUGUAUGGCUGGAGUGUCGGAGAGGCAGGCGGAAUUCCUAGUGUAGCGGUGAAAUGCGUAGAUAUUAGGAGGAACACCAGUGGCGAAGGCGGCCUGCUGGACGAUGACUGACGUUGAGGCUCGAAAGCGUGGGGAGCAAACAGG
This 253-nucleotide ribosomal RNA is filed under the name uncultured bacterium. Its description in RNAcentral is "partial 16S ribosomal RNA". It matches the Rfam family "Bacterial small subunit ribosomal RNA", at positions 524 to 776 of the family's 1533-position model. The record is from RNAcentral.